CAGCCGCCGCGGUAAUACGAAGGGUGCAAGCGUUAAUCGGAAUUACUGGGCGUAAAGCGCGCGUAGGUGGUUCAUUAAGUUGAAUGUGAAAGCCCUGGGCUCAACCUGGGAACUGCAUCCAAAACUGGUGAGCUAGAGUACGGUAGAGGGUAGUGGAAUUUCCUGUGUAGCGGUGAAAUGCGUAGAUAUAGGAAGGAACACCAGUGGCGAAGGCGACUACCUGGACUGAUACUGACACUGAGGUGCGAAAGCGUGGGGAGCAAACAGGAUUAGAUACCCGGGUAGUCCCUGUCUCUUAUAC
RNAcentral lists this ribosomal RNA (301 nucleotides) under uncultured bacterium. RNAcentral describes it as "partial 16S ribosomal RNA". It matches the Rfam family "Bacterial small subunit ribosomal RNA", at positions 509 to 807 of the family's 1533-position model. The record is from RNAcentral.